RNAcentral lists this long non-coding RNA (559 nucleotides) under Physcomitrium patens. RNAcentral's name for it is "long non-coding RNA (PPAT_LNC005651)". Lineage: Eukaryota; Viridiplantae; Streptophyta; Bryopsida; Funariales; Funariaceae. The record is from RNAcentral.
UAUUAACUUUAUUUCAAAAUUAGUGUGUAACUUGAUCUUUAAGUCUUUCAACACCAUGCCAACUUUCACCUUAAUCUAACUAAUAGAUCUUUAGAUAUCAUAGAAAUCCUACCCAACCUCAAACUGCCACCUUCUGAAAUCCUCUUUUGCUAAAAACUAGAUAUCUCUAAACCACACCAUUAGAUUAUCACAAAAUUUUGUAUACACUUAGCACACCCAAUAAUCCAAAUAGUUUCAGGUUUUCAACUAUAGAUGUCACACCAAUUGCACGAACUAGCCAAAAUUGCUAGUCCUAAUUAUAUUAUAUAAAAUCCAAAUCACUAAUAAAAACGUUGACUUUGAACAACAAUUGCUAAGUCUUCGAAAAUUCCCUCAAAACAAUUCUUACGUCUUUGAAAAGAAAUUCAAGCUAGCUUUCAAAUCUUAACCUCGGAUCUUCAAAUGAUUUCCUAUUUUGCCCUAGGCUGUCGUUUUAAUGGCCAGAGGUCUGAUUUCGACCGUGUCUCACAAAUGGUCGACCCCUAAGUAUCAAUCUAACCUAUCCUAAGGUGUUUUUAGC